This 492-nucleotide ribosomal RNA is filed under the name uncultured bacterium. Its description in RNAcentral is "partial 16S ribosomal RNA". It matches the Rfam family "Bacterial small subunit ribosomal RNA", at positions 29 to 507 of the family's 1533-position model. The record is from RNAcentral.
AGUGAACGCUGGCGGUAGGCCUAACACAUGCAAGUCGAACGGCAGCACAGUAAGAGCUUGCUCUUACGGGUGGCGAGUGGCGGACGGGUGAGGAAUACAUCGGAAUCUACUUUUUCGUGGGGGAUAACGUAGGGAAACUUACGCUAAUACCGCAUACGAUCUACGGGUGAAAGCAGGGGAUCUUCGGACCUUGCGCGAUUGAAUGAGCCGAUGUCGGAUUAGCUAGUUGGCGGGGUAAAGGCCCACCAAGGCGACGAUCCGUAGCUGGUCUGAGAGGAUGGUCGGCCACACUGGAAGUGAGACACGGUCCAGACUCCUACGGGAGGCAGCAGUGGGGAAUAUUGGACAAUGGGCGCAAGCCUGAUCCAGCCAUACCGCGUGGGUGAAGAAGGCCUUCGGGUUGUAAAGCCCUUUUGUUGGGAAAGAAACGCAGCAGGUUAAUACCCCGCUGUUCUGACGGUACCCAAAGAAUAAGCACCGGCUAACUUCGUG